Molecule: RNA transcript, 1732 nt
Organism: Zingiber officinale
Lineage: Eukaryota; Viridiplantae; Streptophyta; Magnoliopsida; Zingiberales; Zingiberaceae
Gene name: GDT1-like protein 1, chloroplastic
Exons: 3
Source: RefSeq, a predicted model, not a curated record
CCCUAACAGGAGGGAUAGCCUGGUGCUCCUGCUUCACCAGAGGCCUUCUUACUUCCCCAUCCUUCCUUUCCGACUUCCCCGGUCCGCCCACAUUCUCCGUCAUCCCUCGCCGCCCAUUCAGCGAUGCCCUCCCCAGGCGCCGACACCGUUCUUCCUUCCGGCUUCCCACAUUUUUUAAAAGUCCAGGAGAGUUAUCGAUUUUGGGAUCGAGGAGGUAGAACGUUAUAUGUAUAUGUGUAUAUAUACUUUUCGAGAUCUCGUUUCCGUGUUGAAUUAAGUAGAAUAUGUGGUUAGACGUUUGAUGAUUUCAUCGAUUUGGAGGCAGUGUUCCGUCUUACAAGCAUAUAAUUCCACUCUUUAAUGCUAAGAAAACACUGGAGUUCACAUUUCUUGUUGGUCUCUUUACCUUUCAAGCGUCUCAGAACGCAAUUGCUGCGACAGAAUUAGCUGGAGUUCAGACGACUUAUUUAGGAGAUCUGGGUGGUAUCAAUACAGGAUUUGCAUCAGUACGACAUAUUUGUUUGUUCUUUUAAUAUCAAAUAUCAAUUUCUUGGGCUUGAGGUAAUUCCAGUACCACUUCUCAGUCAAUGACAAUGCAAAACAUUUGGUUGAAUCAACCUUAAAGUAAUGCUUUUACUCACUAUCCCGAAGAACCUAUCUAGAUUCUAGUUUGACACCAGCUUUUUCUGCUACAGUGUCACUUGUUUCUCCAGUUCUUAAGAUCAAUCUAUGGGUGUUAACUCAUGAAAUGUAUAAUCAAGUUCCCCAUGAUACAAUGCUGAUUGUUAUAGACUUCUUUAUUCAACGAGGUUCUCUUUCUUCUGUUAUUUCAAUCUAUGCUCUUCUCUUUUGGUGGUCUUGUGGCAUCAUUUGAUUUCAUUUACCGUGUCAAUUAGCAACCUCAUCUGUGUUAGGAUACUGGCGACUUCCUACAAAUACCCAAACAUCUGGUACUCUUUUUUUUCAUAAUCAGUAUCUAACUUAGUGUCUUUUUCUCUUGUUUUGCUCAUAUUCCUUAUUUUGUUCUUUACUUUUCAGAUCUAGUUGUUUCAUAGUUAACCCAUUUAGUAAAUCUCUGAUUCCUCGAAUAUCCUUGCAUUUCUAUCUUGCUCAAUCCACAUAAUAUUUUAGGAUCAUUAUAAUUUUGCUCGGUGACUAAACUGUCAUUAUACAGUUUAAUGCCUGAUCAUCUGCUACUGAAAACUUCAAUAUGCACAGCCAAUUUUCUCUAUCAGGAAGAAGUUAUUUGACUUUAAGAAAUGAUCCUUCUUGUGCAUUUUGAGGAGAUAGUGCAGGAAAUAUAGCCGCAGCCAGUACUGUUCUCAGCACAUUCAUCUUAGUUUUUGUUGCUGAAUGGGGUGAUAUGUCAUUUUUCUCCACAAUAGAACUUGCUACAGCUUCUUCGCCUUUGGGCGUCAUAGGAGGUGCACUUGCUGGCCAUGCUUUUGCAACUUUGGUAAAGAAACGAGACAUUAUAUAAAUUUCAAUAUAUUUUUCAAGUCUACAACUAAUUUGUAUAAACUUAAGGUUCACAUUCAUCAUGUGCUACAGGAUUGAAGCAGAUAUUGUUGAUUAUUUCAACCUACAGUGCACCUCAUCAUUUUUGUGAUUUCUAAAAUUCUACAUAGCCAGAGGUUUCUGGCCAUUUUUAUUUGAUACACCAUAUUUGUUGAUUCUACUUUGUGCUAUAACUCAUGAAACUUGCCUUUUAGUGCUCGAUGUGAUUUGGAAA